RNAcentral lists this ribosomal RNA (555 nucleotides) under Triticum aestivum (bread wheat). RNAcentral's name for it is "partial small subunit ribosomal RNA". The record is from RNAcentral. Lineage: Eukaryota; Viridiplantae; Streptophyta; Magnoliopsida; Poales; Poaceae.
AUGGACGUCGUCAAGGUGGCCACUACCGUAAGUGGCCUCACGAUCUCUGAUAAGGGGGCCGCUACUUCCGCCAAGACGACCACCGGCCAGGAGGGUCGGGCUCAGGUGGUCUUGGCGCCUGCUCCGGCUGGUGCGCCACUUGGUCAGGUGGACCAGGUGGGCGUGCCGGCUACUCGGGUCCAGGGCCACAUGUCCCUGGAGAACUCGUCCAAGGGUGCAACGCAUGUCCAGGAGGGUCUUUUGCGUGCUGCACCUGCUCCGAAUCAGGCUCUCCAGGAGAGUCAGAAGUCCACGGGUACUCAGCCGCUGGGGAUGUCCAGCAAAACCCCAGCGCCUGGGGCUGAUACGGGCCUCCUGCUCUUCCAGCCGGGGGUGCUGGAUGUGUUGACAAACGCGGUAGCUGCAAGGUUUGGUAAAACAGGUGGCGGGACAGAGAACAAUACCGUAUGCUUUAAAUUCAGUGCAGCUAAGAAUCACACGCAGGGUAACUACAAAAAGAAAGAUAAAAAUAAAGGGGGCAAAAUAGAGAUGAGGAUGCUCGCAAGCAAGUCCUAG